RNAcentral lists this ribosomal RNA (449 nucleotides) under uncultured bacterium. Its description in RNAcentral is "partial 16S ribosomal RNA". It matches the Rfam family "Bacterial small subunit ribosomal RNA", at positions 328 to 793 of the family's 1533-position model. The record is from RNAcentral.
CGCCCAGACUCCUACGGGAGGCAGCAGUGGGGGAUAUUGCACAAUGGGGGAAACCCUGAUGCAGCGACGCCGCGCGGGUGAAGAAGCGCCUCGGCGCGUAAAGCCCUGUCAGCAGGGAAGAAAAUGACGGUACCUGAAGAAGAAGCCCCGGCUAACUACGUGCCAGCAGCCGCGGUAAUACGUAGGGGGCAAGCGUUAUCCGGAAUUAUUGGGCGUAAAGAGUACGUAGGUGGUUUUGUAAGCGCGGGGUGAAAGGCAGUGGCUUAACCAUUGUAAGCCUUGCGAACUGCAAGACUUGAGUGCAGGAGAGGAAAGCGGAAUUCCUAGUGUAGCGGUGAAAUGCUUAGAUAUUAGGAGGAACACCAGUGGCGAAGGCGGCUUUCUGGACUGUAACUGACACUGAGGUACGAAAGCGUGGGGAGCAAACAGGAUUAGAUACCCGAGUACUG